RNAcentral lists this long non-coding RNA (488 nucleotides) under Ananas comosus (pineapple). RNAcentral's name for it is "long non-coding RNA (ACOM_LNC033281)". Lineage: Eukaryota; Viridiplantae; Streptophyta; Magnoliopsida; Poales; Bromeliaceae. The record is from RNAcentral.
AGUGUGGGCAGCCGGGACAUAUGAUUCGUGAUUGCCUGAGGGGAGCAUCACCUGCACAGUCCACAGCUUCAGUCCAGUCACCCUCCAGACAGCGUUCUGGUCUACCACCUGCUAUGUCAGCUGGACGUACUUUUGUGCCGCGUCAGUACGAGCCAUCUCGAUCUGCAUCGAGUACCCGUAUGGACGCACCUCGAUCUGCACCGAGUGGUCGUGUAUUUGCAGCCCAGGCAGAGGAGCCGGCCGUAGUUGAUGACGUCGUGGCAGGUAUUGUUUUACUUUAUGGCACUAGAUCUCGUGCAUUAUUUGACACAGGUGCAUCGCAUUCAUUCAUCAGUAGUUCAUUUGCUAAGACGCAUGACAUUGAGAUUUCGGAUAGUGCUGAUGCCUGGUGGGUAUAUGCCCCUGAGCACACAUUUAGUGUCCAUGAAGUGUGUGCGGCAUGUCCAGUACAGAUUGGUGAUUGGAUUAUGCCAGCAGAUCUGUUAGUG